AUGAUCGACGAGCCCCUAUUGAAAGAUGGGAAGUUUGCGGACUUGACGUGUUGGCAAGUUUGGGGACUUGACGUUUGAAAGAUGGGAUAAAGAGGUCAAUUGAGGCCUGACAAAGGAGUUGAAGGAGCGGUGACCGCCCUAAGCUGAGGUCUCUCUUGCUCUUUGGUCUUGUUUUUGGGUACAUGUCAUUAGUUUUGUAUCUUUCGUUCCUUUUUAGUCUUGACCAUUGGUUAUUGUUUUUUUUUUCUGCCAGCUCCCUUAUAAGCAGGGGUGAAAAUAGGUCAAGUCAAGCCAGACUUUGUGUGACCCUGCAAGCCUCCCUGCAUUCUAUUUUCGUGGCCCAAGCCUGACUUGUGACUUGUCAACAAGCCGAAUUUUAAGGCCUGAUAUGACCUAUUAUAU
RNAcentral lists this long non-coding RNA (402 nucleotides) under Lotus japonicus. RNAcentral describes it as "long non-coding RNA (LJAP_LNC000896)". Lineage: Eukaryota; Viridiplantae; Streptophyta; Magnoliopsida; Fabales; Fabaceae. The record is from RNAcentral.